Peromyscus californicus insignis is the source of this 6661-nucleotide long non-coding RNA. RefSeq lists it as uncharacterized. The record is from RefSeq and is a predicted model, not a curated record. Lineage: Eukaryota; Metazoa; Chordata; Mammalia; Rodentia; Cricetidae. The transcript is spliced from 4 exons.
UUGCUUAAUAAUUAAAAAAUAACCAGUUAGGAAAAACAGUGAAAUUGAAAAAAAAAGAUGUUGUGGGACCAGCAUAAGAUUCCAAAAGACACAUAUGACAAUAAAUUCUAUAAACAAUUUGGAUAAAUCUUUAAAUUACUAUUGCAGAACUGAAAAUGAUUGAAUAAAUAGGAUAACACGCUGACUUUGUAUGUAAUAGAAAUGAAAAUGGCAAUGAUGCUAAUUAAAUGAUGGAAUUAUCAUUCAGAGGUCUGUAGGGAUUGAUAGUUCAUACAGGAGGAUCUAUGUUCAGAAAGUCCAGUAGCUAGUGGGAAAUCCAAUUUUACUCUAUAUUAAAUGUACAUUGAAAUGUGUGUUAGAGCUAAAGCAGCUGAAUCAAUCCACAGCAUGCUAAUGGAAGGAUAGGAAUGCAGGUUUGAGAAAAUAGUAUAAUGUAUUGGAAAAUGUAUUCCAAUAAGAGUAAGCAAAUAGAAAGCAUCACUUUCAAAUCACUGUGAAAAAUAGACUCUUGGAUGGAUGAUACCAAAUUAAAUAGUCUACAUUUAUGAAAAAAGAAAGGAAGAACAUUGAAGAAAAUAUGUAAUUUAAUAUGAAAUAUUUCAUUUGAAAAUGAAAACAUGUAUUACAUAGAAACAAUGUUAUAAGCAAAUAGAUUACAAAGAAAAAGAAGUGAAAUGUUUGCCAAUAUGUGAUGUUGUCAAAAAGUUACUUUGCAUUUCAUACAAAUAAAGAAAUGCUAUAUCUCAGGAAAAAUGGAUAAAGAAUAGAAACAAGUGAAGUACAGAAAAGCAGUAGAAUGGCUGGCUAGCAAGCAAAUGAAAGAUGAUACUGCAAAUAAAAGCCCACUGGAAAGUGAAGACCAAAAGCAGGAAAGUGGGCUGCCUUGGAACUCACUUUUUGGCCAGGCUGGCCUUGAAGACACAGAGAUUUAUCUGCCUCUGUAUCAAGGUUGUUUGGGGGCCAGCUCCUUAGACCUCAUCCGGGUUCAGAUCAGACACAACAGGAAGUGAAAGGAACUAGGGUAUUUGAAGGCAAAAAUGAAUUAGCUCACAUGUGUCUUCUUCAAAUCAUAUCUUUUUAUUAUUCUGCCUUUUUCUAAUUUCCUUGUCCUAAUUGUCUAUAAUUUCUUAGCUCUAAUUCUCUGUUCUAAUCCUCCUGCUUUUCCUCAUCUAGCCCAAUAAUAACUCUUUUUUACAGGAGACUUGAAGCAAUAAUAAAAAUUACAAGAGUUCUCUCUCAUUGGUCAAAAGCACAUUUCUAGAGUAGACGAUAAGGACAGAGCCAUUUACCAUGGCAACACAAGGUUUCAAGGUCUCAGGACCAGAAGGAGGGGUGCAGUGUCAAGUGUGACAAACAGACAUAGGUCUUUAUCAGCAGACUUGGCAAGCAAAGAACUGGUAUGCUUUUCUUAGAGUGCUUUAUGUGGUUAGACAUCUGCAACUCUGACCUUGUGCAUAAUUGUAAAGUUUCAAACUUAUGAUAGUUUGAACUUGCUCUGAGGUGAAAUGAGCUAAAUGUGUGGAGUUAGUCUGAGCAAAAGGAACAAAGCAGGCUUUUAAGGGUCUACCGUCCUUGUGAGGUAAUAGAUCUAGUUAUGAAACAUAUCUUACUAUAUUUUCUAUAUGUCAAUUUUAUACAGCUAAUUGAGAAGUCAUCUUUCUAACGAUCCAAGGACAUGAGUGCCCAGUAACACACCAGCUGUGGGAAAACACCCACAGCUGUACUUAGGGAAGAAAUGAAAUGGUAUAUGAGAGAAAUUACGGACAGGAGCAACUGGUCAUUAUCAGUCAGUAGCUCCACUGUCUUGCCAGUGGGGCUCCCCAUCACAGAGUCUGGUGGGUCGACCUGCUGAGCACCCAUUGCCUCCUGCUGUGUAACCACAGUCUCUUGCUACCAGCAGCUCUUAAUACCUCUGCUUCCCAAGUACUGGUGUUAAAGGCAUUUUCCACCACAUCUGGCUCUGCUUCUUAUCAGCAUAUUAAGGAAUGUCUACUUUUGAUACAGUAACUUGCAUCCACAUUGGGACCUUGACCACAGACCUGCUACGAUACGAGGACACGGGAAGGCAGACAGCACAAGAGGUAUCGAUAUGUGAGGGACAGAGAAAGGUAUGCAUUUGAAUAAAACCCACUGCUUCUGAAAAUGGAAUAUUCUGAGUUUCCAUACAAGUCAACUAAAUUCUGUAGAAAUCUACCAAUGGUGACAUAAUAACUCUACCUCUUCAAAUUGUUGUAAUACAUACUUUGUAACUUGAUGAUGUAUUGACAAAUUAAAACUGCAUGUAGAAUUAAUAUACACAGCAAUUUCACUUUUAAGUAUACAUGAGAAGAAUUAGACAUGAAUCUACACAUCAGGGAGACAUCUGAACCACCAUGUUAAUUUUAGCAUUAUUCUCAAUAACCAAGACAAUGGUAUCAACCUAUAUGUCUAAUGAUCAAUAAAUAGAUUGAGAAUAUAUGCUACAUAUAUACAUGCAAAAGGAAAUUGCUAUUUAUAACAGCAUACUUAAGCUUUAAGAGGGAAAUAUUAUACAUUGUUUAGUUCUAAAAUUCAUUGUUUGAGUAAAUUUACUUCAAUGAAUUAGCAUUUGAUGAACUGCCUAAACAAUGGAAUUUUAUGGGCAAUAAUAGUUUGAAGUAAUAAAAUAGAUGAUAAUGUCUUAAAAUUUAUGUAUGCAGUGAAAUCAUGGAAAACAUGAUACUGUUCUGCCUGUGUAGAGUUAGAUGAGGCUUUCAAAUAAUAAUAGGGUUGCUUAAGAAGCCAGAGAAUUUAGCUCCAAAAUCCUGUGUAUAAAAUCUGUAAGUAUAUUAAUCAGAUAAGAGUUAAUUAAAUUUGCAUUUACAUAUAAAAGGAAAAUUUGUAUUCUCUUUCUCUUGGGUUCUUGGUAAGGUGUCCCUUCCCUGAUAUUAUGACUACUAAAGCCCCCAACCAUCCAGAAUAAAGGUUACAAAUCACAGGGCUUCCUGAACGAGAGUAUGUCAGGACAUGCAUCUUUGGGGCACAUCCACCUUAUCUACGGGUAUAAGGACAAAUAUUUAGAAUUCAGUUAGGGUUUGUGUUGGUUUAGUAAAGUGAUUGUUGGAGGUUUCCUCUAAGAUACAUGACUUAACUGGCAGUGAGUAGUUGGGUGUGUUUGCAGUACCAGGCAUGAUUUCCCUUUUGUUAAACAGGCCCUACGUCCAAUUAGAGAGCUGUUGGUUAUUGCCAUGGCAUGCAUACCACCAUUGCACUCUUAGGGUUAUAUAAUGUCAUCUUAGUCAUUGUUCUGGUUCAUAAGCAUCCUGGCUGGAUAGGACUGUUGGUAGCCUCCUUCAUUUGAAAGAUUUUAUGACAGUUUAUGGUAGCAUGAAAGUUAGUCCUCAGUGAGAAACUUUUAAGUCAGAUAUUUAAAAUCCAAAACUGAUUUGCUAUGACUUCAUUAGGAAACAGUAUAGCCAUUGACUUGAGGUAGUAUGUACAGUGUUGGUCAAUAUAUGUAUUCUUCCAUUCUUUCUCAUUUUUUGUUAUUGUUAUUGUUAUAAUCCUGGAUGAAGAAGAAAGAAAACUAAGGUAAAUACCAUCACUCAAAUAAAUGAAGCCUAGAAGAUAUAUAAAAAAAAGGGAUAAACAAACAGAACUCAUUCCCCUCAACAGGUUCUCCACUCCUCUAGUCUUAAGAUAAGAAUAAAAAGAAAUAUUUGAACAGGCCUUGAAAUUUAGUUUAGAACAGCCUAGGAUUUUAUCUAUAUCUGCAUCUAUAUCUAUAAACAUAUAUGCAUAUUUGUUCUUGGGCUUGGUUGGGACAAUAAAGCUCCAGGGUCGAUCUAUUCUAUUUAUGGGCUUAAAAGAAGAAUGUAUUGGAAGGGAAAGAAAAUGACUACUGAUUAUCAUUACAAUGUCGAGAUACCUCAGUGCUAUACACACCCUCAGUUAUAAAAUGAAUUUCAGAGAGAAGAUAUACAAUAGUUCUGCUUUUAAUUUCGUAUAAAUCUCUUCAUUAACUAGUUUUAUAGUUAUUUUCUUAAGUUAUAGUAUUUAAAAUAAAAUAACUUUAGAUGCAGAUGUAGGUUUCAGGAAAGAAAAGAGAUUAUUUUCAGCAUGGAACAGAGAAACUCACACAUCUACUGAAUGUGAAAUUUAAGGAGAAUCAAUAAUUCACUUUAAAUGGGAAGUGAGUAAUUCAGCAUUUAAAAUUGCAACAUUCUCCAUAUAUUCCUUGGUGAUAUUGACGUGGGUGUGAAUUGGGGUGAUGUUUCCCACCGCCAAGUGGAUAAGAAUUUGAGUCACUAGUUUAAGUAACAAAAUGAUUGGUAAAUCUAGAGGACCUUACUAUGGUGAGAUGGAAUUCCAAAUAGAAAAGUUAUGUUUAUGUGUUCAUGUAUUUGUGCAUGUGUGUGUCUGUGUACUCUAACUCACUUCACUCCACUCAUAUGACAUUUUAUCUGACUUCCCAGGAUGUGAUUGGAUGCUGUUUAUUCAGCCAUCUAAACAUUUUGAUGACAUCCUGUGGAUUAUUAGCAGAAAGAAUGAAAUCUUCUAAAUGGUUUUGUGAGACCUACUUAGUAAUGCUUGAGUUGAAUGGUUUCCCAGGAGGCUGAGCACUAUGCCUGUGUACAGAGAUGAGACAUAUUGCUUUUGAAUGUGCCUUGAUCUGCAAGCUGAAGGAACAGAAGACCUCUAUGGAGCUGGAGCUUCUGAGAACAGAUUCCCCACGUGAGACAGUUCUACCUUCUCCUUGGAGUUCAUAGUCCCUCGCUCCCUCUGGUGUCUGCUUGCUGUACUGCCGGGCUCUGAAGCAGCAGAACUCUACCCUGCCCCUUCUGUUCCCAGUAGGCUCCAGACUUGCAGAAUCUACUAGGUUCUGGCAGUGAUGGAUCCCAACCUCUCUAGAGGCCCCUGGAAGUUGAAACAUUGGAUGCUCACUUGGACAUCUCUUUCUUCAUGACUAUCCAGUUAAUACAGAAAAGAGACCCCUCGAAGCUCCCCAACAUAUACUGCUGUAACUACAGUGCCAUCUUGUUUCUUUCUGAUGGCAUGGCACUGCUCUAAAGGGACAUCAGCGAUGGGACAGCGGCUCUGUGUGUGUGUUCUCACAAGGUUGGAAAUUAAAGAUGAAGACUGGCAUUCAAGCUGUGCAAGGAGGAAGCAAACUUUCUUAAGAGCUAUUUCAGAAAUGAGAAACAUUGAGGAAAUGCCUGAGGGAACGAGGGGUUUUCAAGGAAAUAAAGUCCUUUUUUUCUGGGGACUUUUUGUGGGGCCAGGGCAAAAACUGAACAAAGGGUGAAGUAAUCUCUGUGGGAUUACUUGAUUUUCUGACCUCUCAUGGGCAAAACCAAUGAAUCUUCCACACUAUGUAUGUUCCCCUGGCCCAACCAAGGAGAGGAUCAUGUGGUAUUCAUGCACUGCCAGACCAGUCAGGGAUAUUUGAGGCACCCCUCUGUUCAUCUAACUCCAGCAUUGACCUUGACUGUGUGCUGUGCAUUACUCACCAGGAAAUAACCUGGAUUUACAGGCAUUUCAAGUGCUGUUAGCUGUAGUAAGCUUUUUCUUCUCACGAUUUCCUCAUCAAUUUGUAUCAUAGCCAAGAUGUAACAGCAGUCUCUGUUGGAUAUCUAGUAUUUUGGCCUCUAGUAAUGAAUGGAUAAUCAGAGGUGGUUUCCUAGGUGGAACCUUUUUGUUAGAAACCAUGUUUACUUGCACUUUAGCCUGUCGCACCAGCUGUGUUAGAACAAGAACUGAUAAAGGUCAACAGUGCCACCUCUGUUCCCAUAGGCUUCAGAGGAGCCACCAACUUGCCCUCAUAGCCCACAUCCCUGCCCUUCCUCAUAUCUGUUUAGUUUGGAUGUCUUGUGUCCAAUUAUAAGCCCUUAUAUUUACCUUCAUGGGUGCAUCUUAUUCUGUUGAGUUAGCUCUUUAUCUCCAUUUUAAUCCUAGCUUCUGUUCUCACUACAAGAUACAUGAUAAAGUUACUGUUACUGCCUUAUGGUCUACAGAGAGCAUCUUCAAAAUCAGCACCAUAGUUUGCAAUACAAUGUUAAUUCCUUAUUCUUACUUAUUCCAGAAUUUACAUGGUUUUUGUCUGUGUUAUCUUGAUUUAUUUGAGUAAAAUGCUCGCCUACAUAACAAAGAAUAAAAUAGCAGUAUUGUAGAGGUGAAUUCUUUGUUAUGUGUAGAGUAUAUGUAUUCUGGAAUGAGCAUAGUAGCUGCAGAAUCAUUGAGUCCUAUCAUUUUUCUGUACUGAUGGUCUGAAACAAUUCACACACAGUUUGUAUGUGAUGUGACUGCCCCAUUACAAUACCCACAACCCUGCUAUCAAGACAAAUAAGGAAAAAUGUAAAGUGUGCACUCUCCUCUUAGGGUGUGUCAUAAGGUCAUUCCCAUCACCUUUUUGGCACCUGUUUCCCAGAACUCAGGAAUGAGGCUGUACGAAAAUUUAGAGAAGAUGAGUAAAACAAUGCCUUCAGUGGCUUCCUUACAUGGUUCACCUUGACAUAGAAGUCCCUUUUUAAGUAAAAGGUGAGAAUAAAAAGGGUGCAUGCCAACCAGAAGUGCCUACAGCAUUUUGGAUCAUUCUCAUUCUGCAAUACCCAGAUGUCAACUGACAUGAUGCAGAAAACUUGAACAUCUAGUCCCUUUUUCUAUCAGAAGUUGAGAACUCCAGCCUUUUUGGCUAAUGAUAUAU